RNAcentral lists this ribosomal RNA (188 nucleotides) under uncultured fungus. RNAcentral describes it as "partial 18S small subunit ribosomal RNA". It matches the Rfam family "Eukaryotic small subunit ribosomal RNA", at positions 384 to 570 of the family's 1831-position model. Lineage: Eukaryota; Fungi. The record is from RNAcentral.
CGGAGAGGGAGCUGAGAAACCGGUACCCACAAUCCAAGGAAGGCAGCAGGCGCGCAAAUUACCCAAUCCUGAUUCAGGGAGGUAGUGCCAAUAAAUACUGAUACAGGGCUCUUUUGGGUCUUGUAUUUGGAAUGAGUACAAUUUAAAUCCCUUAACGAGGAACAAUUGGAGGGCAAGUCUGGUGCCAG